This 253-nucleotide ribosomal RNA is filed under the name uncultured bacterium. Its description in RNAcentral is "partial 16S ribosomal RNA". It matches the Rfam family "Bacterial small subunit ribosomal RNA", at positions 524 to 776 of the family's 1533-position model. The record is from RNAcentral.
UACGGAGGGAGCUAGCGUUAUUCGGAAUUACUGGGCGUAAAGCGUACGUAGGCGGCUUUGCAAGUUAGAGGUGAAAGCCUGGAGCUCAACUCCAGAACUGCCUUUAAAACUGCAUCGCUUGAAUCCAGGAGAGGUGAGUGGAAUUCCGAGUGUAGAGGUGAAAUUCGUAGAUAUUCGGAAGAACACCAGUGGCGAAGGCGGCUCACUGGACUGGUAUUGACGCUGAGGUGCGAAAGCGUGGGGAGCAAACAGG